Long non-coding RNA from Nylanderia fulva, 503 nucleotides. RefSeq lists it as uncharacterized. The record is from RefSeq and is a predicted model, not a curated record. Lineage: Eukaryota; Metazoa; Arthropoda; Insecta; Hymenoptera; Formicidae.
CACUUUGUUGAGCGAUUAAGAGCAAUCGAGACAAAAUGGUUCCGUACCAGGAAGGAGUUUGAGUUUGAGCUAGGCGAAAACUUACUAAAAUCGAAACCGCGCGAAAUCGGAACUCGCUCUCUCUCUCUCUCUAUCUCUCUUUCGCGGAUUUUCGGAGAAAACUAUGGGGCGGACUUGCCUUUCUUAGCCGCAGUGUGAUAUAAUCGAAUGAGCGGAGGUUACCACGCACCAAGUUACCCUGCCGCUCGGAGGAUGAUGGAACCAAUUCCGGCUCGUUCGCCACCAUCUGGCCACGCCGUUUCCUCGUUUACUGUAUGUGGCGCGGAUACUCCGGAGAGAAGGAGAGAGAACUCCCGGUGCAACUAGCGCCAGAGGUCUGGGGAUGGAUGUAAUGGGUGAUCGACCGUCGAAUGAUACUUCUUCGAACAGACAGCUGGAAAAUCAGCGCGUAAAUGUAGUCGGCGUAAAAAAGCUUUCGAAUCGAAAUGUGUAUAGUAACUAUA